Molecule: ribosomal RNA, 475 nt
Filed under: uncultured Hyphomonas sp.
Lineage: Bacteria; Pseudomonadati; Pseudomonadota; Alphaproteobacteria; Hyphomonadales; Hyphomonadaceae
Description: bacterial SSU rRNA
Rfam family: Bacterial small subunit ribosomal RNA
Source: RNAcentral
AGCCUGAUGCAGCCAUGCCGCGUGAAUGAUGAAGGCCUUAGGGUUGUAAAAUUCUUUCGCUAGGGAUGAUAAUGACAGUACCUGGUAAAGAAGCCCCGGCUAACUUCGUGCCAGCAGCCGCGGUAAUACGAAGGGGGCUAGCGUUGUUCGGAAUUACUGGGCGUAAAGCGCACGUAGGCGGACUUUUAAGUCAGAUGUGAAAUCCCGGGGCUCAACCUCGGAACUGCAUUUGAAACUGGAAGUCUAGAGACCAGGAGAGGUUAGCGGAAUACCGAGUGUAGAGGUGAAAUUCGUAGAUAUUCGGUGGAACACCAGUGGCGAAGGCGGCUAACUGGACUGGUACUGACGCUGAGGUGCGAAAGUGUGGGGAGCAAACAGGAUUAGAUACCCUGGUAGUCCACACCGUAAACGAUGAGAGCUAGUUGUUGGCAGGCAUGCCUGUCGGUGACGCAGCUAACGCAUAAGCUUCCGCCUG